CAGUCGCCGCGGUAAUACAGAGGGUGCGAGCGUUAAUCGGAUUUACUGGGCGUAAAGCGUGCGUAGGCGGCUUUUUAAGUCGGAUGUGAAAUCCCUGAGCUUAACUUAGGAAUUGCAUUCGAUACUGGGAAGCUAGAGUAUUGGAGAGGAUGGUAGAAUUCCAGGUGUAGCGGUGAAAUGCGUAGAGAUCUGGAGGAAUACCGAUGGCGAAGGCAGCCAUCUGGCCUAAUACUGACGCUGAGGUACGAAAGCAUGGGGAGCAAACAGGAUUAGAUACCCCGGUAGUCCCUGUCUCUUAUAU
Molecule: ribosomal RNA, 301 nt
Filed under: uncultured bacterium
Lineage: Bacteria
Description: partial 16S ribosomal RNA
Rfam family: Bacterial small subunit ribosomal RNA
Source: RNAcentral